Molecule: long non-coding RNA, 1729 nt
Organism: Beta vulgaris subsp. vulgaris (sugar beet)
Lineage: Eukaryota; Viridiplantae; Streptophyta; Magnoliopsida; Caryophyllales; Amaranthaceae
Exons: 3
Source: RefSeq, a predicted model, not a curated record
GUUGUAACUAGCAGAGUGCUCCUCGUGAAGAAGACUACAAGCAUAGUACGAAUUAAGAGGACGACAAUCAACCUUGGAGGAAUGCUAAUUCUUUCUUUUUCGGAUCUUUUUACAAGAAUAUCUAUUCCAUAAAAUUUCUUCUGUUCGAGUUCAGUUCCCACUCCAUCUACUGGAGGAGACAUGAACCCCGGAGUCGGUGCCUGCUAUCCAAUCGCACCUGUUCUGGAGGCCUAUCAACUAAGAGAUGUGAUAGUAUCACGGCGUCUCAAUUAUCAGAUAAGUUAUUACGGUUUCUUAUUAGUUCCAACAAUCUAAGUUGAUUAAUUGUUCGGUUAUAGUAAUAUUAGUUUGACAUGGCUGCUGAGAAUGUUUAUGUUGCUUAACCUAAUAAUACUCUUAUUACUAUGCCUGAAAACAUUAUCACUGACUUGUCCAAAUUUGAACCUUUGAAUGAAAAGAACUUCAAAUGUUGGUAAGAAAAAACAUCCUUCUAUUUUUAAGAGUCUGAUAUUGAUUAUGUGUUACGUUAGGAAAUUGUUAUUGAUGAUUCUGCCACUGGUUAUUAUAAUACUAAGAAAGCUAAGGACAAUUGUAUUGUUAGAGGAGUUAUGUUGCAUUACAUAGACAACUCUUUGUUUGAUAUAUACUAUAAAUGAAUUGUGCUAAAGAAAUAUGGACCGCUCUUGAUUCUAAGUAUGAUUAUAAUGAUGCUUGGUACCAAUAAGUAUGUUGUUGCUAAGUGGCUUAUGUUUGAGAUUGUAGAUGACAAGCCUAUUAUGGACCAAAUUCAUUGAUUUGAUGUUUGUUAAUUUGUGAUCACUUUCAAGCUAAUGCACUCAUCGAGAAGUUACCUUCUUCUUGGGGAGAGUACAAGAAGAAUUUGAUGCACAAGAGAAAGGAUAUGAAGCUGCAAGAAUUGAUUGCUCAUAUCAAGAUUGAGGAUGCUAAAGAAACCAAGAACGUGUUAAGACUAAUGCUUCUAACUUUGUUGUUAUUGUUAAAUAUAAAAUUGCAGGUAUAUACAAGAGUGGUGGCCAAACAAGAAGCGCAAAAGGUUUGAUGGAGAAUGCUUAUACUGUCACAAGAAAGGACAAUUUUUUCUGCCAAUUGUCAUGCUAGGAUUGCAAGCGAGAAGAAUGGAAACAAAGGUAACAAAGGCAACCAAAAAAGUUACAACAAAAACUACAAGGCUCAUAUAAACAAUUCGGGUCAAGGAAAUCCUCAAGCUGAUCUCCAUGAAACCUGUGAGGAUGUGUUGUUGUUGUUCUCUCUAAAGUCAAAUUGGUUGAAAAUCAAGUUGAGUGAAUUGUUGCUACUGGAGCUACAUGUCACAUCAGUGCCAACAAGGAUUUCUUCAAGGAGCUCAAAGAUUAUGGUGAUGGUGAGUAUUGCGUACAUGGGAAACUCCAGCAGCAAAGUUCGGGUCCAUGACAAAGGAAAGGUAUCAAUGAAAGGAGCAAAGAGAAUACUAAGUCAAAGAAGAAAUCAAGUUUGGAUUUUGAAGAUUAGUAAAGAUGAUCAAGGAAUUGCUACUGGAGAAGCGCUGGAACAAGAAGACCAAAGCAAGCUUUAUGUUUCUAGUUCCAAUGUAAAGGAACGAGUAAGAAUGGCAAGGAGCUAUGGCAAUCUAGAAUGAAAAUGAGCAUCUGUUCUUUUGUAAGGAACAUACGAACUGAUACUGUCAUAUUAAGUUUAAAGGAACUAACUAUUAAAAGGAACUUAGACAUUG